Long non-coding RNA from Oryzias latipes (Japanese medaka), 1304 nucleotides. RefSeq lists it as uncharacterized. The record is from RefSeq and is a predicted model, not a curated record. Lineage: Eukaryota; Metazoa; Chordata; Actinopteri; Beloniformes; Adrianichthyidae.
AAUACAGUUUCCACCAUUUGACACUGAAUUGCUUCCUGACUGACCCUUUUACAUUUCUCACCAGCACUUGGGGAAACUGUUAAAACUAUGCUGCCUUGGCUGACAAGGUCAUGGAAAAUGUCUCUGUCAACUUUUGUCCCUGUUGCAUCUUUUUAUUCUACUUUUGCGUCAGGUGGCAGGCAAAACCUCUCCAUGACUGGAAAAGAUGACAUAUCGUAGAGCACCUUUUUAAGCCAGCAUUAUUCUCACUUCACAAAUGAUUAAACUCAUUUGGAUUAAACCACUUACGCAAAAUAAAUUCAAUCAAUCGAAAGUUUAAAAACCUUUUUUUUCAUGAAAUUGCAUUGAAACCAAACUGUCCUUCAACAUCCUCCACCUUUACAUAUUUCUGCUGUUGACUGCAGUCAACGUGAAGCAGUAAUUUACUGAGCCAUACAAAAAAUAGGAAACAUAAUGACAGUACCGAUAAUAAGCAUUUAAUAGGAUACAACUUAAACAAUUCAAGGUAAAAUUAAAAAGUCAUUUGAACACAAUAAACCGAUAUCAACCAUACACUAUACACUACAGAGUAUUGAAACAUUUAAAACGCAUGUUGUGGAUUCCAGAAUAUAGUGUGUGAGCCAGGUAAUAUGCACAUUCAACUAUGUAAACACCUGGUCUGGUAUAUGUUAGGACGAGCCUUCCAUAAAAGAACAAGAAAUAAACAGAGAAAAAUAAAAGCGGGUGGCCAUGUUGGCACUGCUAACAUGGCAAUCAAGACUUACCUCCGUCACUCAAGGUUUACCAGCCGAGACAAUCUGAAGCUGAAGAGCAACACCAAUAGACCUACCGGAGUUAGAUUCUAAUAUUUAGUUAUCUUUAUAAUGUGUUGUAGGGAUUGAUUAAAGCAAGUGUCAUGGUGCCUCUGUCAGCUAUCUUCCCCCUCCCCUCUCUGCUUGGCCACUGAUUCGUCCCAGCUGCGUUCACUCAUCUCAUCAACCUGCCAGACCUUCUUAAGGAGCGCCAGGACCAGAAUUCAACGCUAGUUCGUUGCCCCUGAUGGACCUACAUAUCCCACGAGUGGACGCCAGCUUCAGCUUCAGCCCAAGCGGAGUUAUCCCCGGAGUUACCUACCUCCUCUCAACGCUCCAUACAUCAGGCCACAGCUCUAGCCUCAGCCGAACCUCCAGCCACGCCACGGGCCACAGUCGAACCUCCAGCCACGUCAAGAUCCACCCUCUCAUCUGGAGUUGCCGUUCCUGCCAUUCCCCGCCACAACAGGACAAAUUCAUCCGCUGGAAAAAUUAAAUCUAUUAUUUACCUUC